RNAcentral lists this ribosomal RNA (249 nucleotides) under Streptococcus dysgalactiae subsp. equisimilis. RNAcentral's name for it is "partial 23S ribosomal RNA". It matches the Rfam family "Bacterial large subunit ribosomal RNA", at positions 2679 to 2925 of the family's 2925-position model. The record is from RNAcentral. Lineage: Bacteria; Bacillati; Bacillota; Bacilli; Lactobacillales; Streptococcaceae.
UAGUACGAGAGGACCAGAGUGGACUUACCGCUGGUGUACCAGUUGUCUUGCCAAAGGCAUCGCUGGGUAGCUAUGUAGGGAAGGGAUAAGCGCUGAAAGCAUCUAAGUGCGAAGCCCCCCUCAAGAUGAGAUUUCCCAUGAUUUUAUAUCAGUAAGAGCCCUGAGAGAUGAUCAGGUAGAUAGGUUAGAAGUGGAAGUGUAGUGAUACAUGAAGCGGACUAAUACUAAUAGCUCGAGGACUUAUCCGAA